This 459-nucleotide ribosomal RNA is filed under the name uncultured Thiobacillus sp. Its description in RNAcentral is "bacterial SSU rRNA". It matches the Rfam family "Bacterial small subunit ribosomal RNA", at positions 919 to 1382 of the family's 1533-position model. The record is from RNAcentral. Lineage: Bacteria; Pseudomonadati; Pseudomonadota; Betaproteobacteria; Nitrosomonadales; Thiobacillaceae.
ACCCGCACAAGCGGUGGAUGAUGUGGAUUAAUUCGAUGCAACGCCGAAAACCUUACCUACCCUUGACAUGUCCGGAAUCCUGCAGAGAUGCGGGAGUGCCCGAAAGGGAAUCGGAACACAGGUGCUGCAUGGCUGUCGUCAGCUCGUGUCGUGAGAUGUUGGGUUAAGUCCCGCAACGAGCGCAACCCUUAUCAUUAGUUGCUACGCAAGGGCACUCUAAUGAGACUGCCGGUGACAAACCGGAGGAAGGUGGGGAUGACGUCAAGUCCUCAUGGCCCUUAUGGGUAGGGCUUCACACGUCAUACAAUGGUCGGUACAGAGGGUUGCCAAGCCGCGAGGUGGAGCCAAUCCCAGAAAGCCGAUCGUAGUCCGGAUUGUUCUCUGCAACUCGAGAGCAUGAAGUCGGAAUCGCUAGUAAUCGCGGAUCAGCAUGUCGCGGUGAAUACGUUCCCGGGUCUU